RNAcentral lists this microRNA (20 nucleotides) under Monodelphis domestica (gray short-tailed opossum). RNAcentral describes it as "mdo-miR-2985-5p". The record is from miRBase by way of RNAcentral. Lineage: Eukaryota; Metazoa; Chordata; Mammalia; Didelphimorphia; Didelphidae.
GUGGGUGGAAUAGUAUAACA